Molecule: ribosomal RNA, 380 nt
Filed under: Gymnocanthus galeatus (armorhead sculpin)
Lineage: Eukaryota; Metazoa; Chordata; Actinopteri; Perciformes; Cottidae
Description: partial 16S ribosomal RNA
Rfam family: Bacterial large subunit ribosomal RNA
Source: RNAcentral
ACGCCCAACAGCUAGCCCGCCUAAACAAUUUCAACAAACCCCUGUUAAUACCCCCUAAAUACCCUAGUAUUUAAAUUAAACAAACCAUUUUUCCCCCUUAGUAUAGGCGAUAGAAAGGGGACCACGGCGCAAUAGAGAAAGUACCGCAAGGGAACGCUGAAAGAGAAGUGAAAUAACCCAGUAAAGCCUGAAAAAGCAGAGAUUUAAACUCGUACCUUUUGCAUCAUGAUUUAGCGAGUGUACCUCAAGCAAAGAGCACUUUAGUUUGACGUCCCGAAACUACGUGAGCUACUCCAAGACAGCCUAUUAAUAGGGCGCACCCGUCUCUGUGGCAAAAGAGUGGGGAGAGCUUUGAGUAGAGGUGACAAACCUACCGAACC